Molecule: ribosomal RNA, 254 nt
Filed under: uncultured bacterium
Lineage: Bacteria
Description: partial 16S ribosomal RNA
Rfam family: Bacterial small subunit ribosomal RNA
Source: RNAcentral
UACGUAGGGUGCAGGCGUUAAUCGGAAUUACUGGGCGUAAAGCGUGCGCAGGCGGUCUUUUAAGUCAGAUGUGAAAUCCCCGGGCUUAACCUGGGAACUGCGUUUGAAACUGGAAGGCUAGAGUGUGGCAGAGGGGGGGUGGAAUUCCACGUGUAGCAGUGAAAUGCGUAGAUAUGUGGAGGAACACCGAUGGCGAAGGCAGCUCGCUGGGACGGUACUGACGCUGAGACGCGAAAGCGUGGGGAGCAAACAGG